Molecule: ribosomal RNA, 252 nt
Filed under: uncultured bacterium
Lineage: Bacteria
Description: partial 16S ribosomal RNA
Rfam family: Bacterial small subunit ribosomal RNA
Source: RNAcentral
UACGUAGGGGGCAAGCGUUGUCCGGAUUUAUUGGGCGUAAAGAGCGUGUAGGCGGUUUGGUAGGUCCGCUGUGAAAACUCGAGGCUCAACCUCGAGACGCCGGUGGAAACCAUCAGACUAGAGUCCGGAAGAGGAGAGUGGAAUUCCACGUGUAGCAGUGAAAUGCGUAGAGAUGUGGAGGAACACCAAUGGCGAAGGCAGCACUCUGGGACGUGACUGACGCUGAGACGCGAAAGCGUGGGAGCAAACAGG